RNAcentral lists this ribosomal RNA (301 nucleotides) under uncultured bacterium. RNAcentral describes it as "partial 16S ribosomal RNA". It matches the Rfam family "Bacterial small subunit ribosomal RNA", at positions 509 to 809 of the family's 1533-position model. The record is from RNAcentral.
CAGCAGCCACGGUAACACAGAGGGUGCGAGCGUUAAUCGGAUUUACUGGGCGUAAAGCGUGCGUAGGCGGCUUCUUAAGUCGGAUGUGAAAUCCCUGAGCUUAACUUAGGAAUUGCAUUCGAUACUGGGAAGCUAGAGUAUGGGAGAGGAUGGUAGAAUUCCAGGUGUAGCGGUGAAAUGCGUAGAGAUCUGGAGGAAUACCGAUGGCGAAGGCAGCCAUCUGGCCUAAUACUGACGCUGAGGUACGAAAGCAUGGGGAGCAAACAGGAUUAGAUACCCCUGUAGUCCCUGUCUCUUAUAU